Molecule: ribosomal RNA, 460 nt
Filed under: uncultured bacterium
Lineage: Bacteria
Description: partial 16S ribosomal RNA
Rfam family: Bacterial small subunit ribosomal RNA
Source: RNAcentral
CCUACGGGUGACAGCAGUGAGGAAUAUUGGUCAAUGGACGCAAGUCUGAACCAGCCAUGCCGCGUGCAGGAAGACGGCUCUAUGAGUCGUAAACUGCUUUUGUACGAGGGUAAACGCAGAUACGCGUAUCUGUCUGAAAGUCUCGUACGAAUCAGGAACGGCUAACUCCGUGCCAGCAGCCGCGGUAAUCCGGCGGAUUCAAGCGUUAUCCGGAUUUAUUGGGUGUAACGGGUCCGUAGGCGGUCGGAUAAGUUAGAGGUGAAAUCCCCAGGCUCAACGUCGGAAUUGCCUCUGAUACUGUUCGGCUAGAGAGUAGUAGCGGUAGGCGGAAUGUAUGGUGUAGCGGUGAAAUGCUUAGAGAUCAGACAGAACACCGAUUGCGAAGGCAGCUUACCAAGCUACUUCUGACGUUGAGGCACGAAAGCGUGGGGAGCAAACAGGAUUAGAUACCCUUGUAGUC